AGAAAACUCAACGGAUCCGAGGAAUAUUUUAUUCUAUCUAUAUCUGCUUGAACCUCGACUUUCAAGAAAAUUUUUAAAAACAAGGCCUGCUGACACAGUUACGGGCGCCCUGCUAUGUGAGGAUCUGUGGGAAAGUGACUCUCCCUCCUUGGAUUAUUGGGUGACACACUAGCUACUUCAUACCUGGUGCCUGACCACUCUUGAAAAAGAUACAGCUGAAAACUCAGUCCAGGAGGAGAAGGACCUGUGAUAUUUGGCUUUCCCAGGAAACUCCUACAUUCCUUCUCAAGAUCAAAUCUAAAAACAGGUUUGUAGAAUAUUCACUCCAGCUCUAAGAGAUGGCAGAAGGUGCCAGGAGUCCAUUGCCAGGAACACACUUUCCUCAGUCUCGUAAAUGAAACUGCACAGAUGGCAAAGCUAAGCAAAGGGCAC
Homo sapiens (human) is the source of this 432-nucleotide long non-coding RNA. The record is from Ensembl. NCBI's taxonomy places the organism in Eukaryota, Metazoa, Chordata, Mammalia, Primates, Hominidae.